RNAcentral lists this ribosomal RNA (433 nucleotides) under uncultured bacterium. Its description in RNAcentral is "partial 16S ribosomal RNA". It matches the Rfam family "Bacterial small subunit ribosomal RNA", at positions 29 to 507 of the family's 1533-position model. The record is from RNAcentral.
AACGAACGCUGGCGGCAUGCCUAACACAUGCAAGUCGAACGCGGCCUUCGGGGCUUGUUUCGCACGGGUGCUUAACGAGUGGGAACCUGCCCUUAGGUUCCGUAUAACUCCCCGAAGGGGGUGCUAAUACCAGGUAAUGUAUUCCGACCAAAGAUUUAUCGGCUUGGGAUGGGCCCGCGUUAGAUUCGCUUGUUGGUAGGGUAAAAGACCACCAAGGCGACGAUCCAUAGCUGGUCUGAGCGGAUGAUCAGCAACACUGUGAGUGAGAGACGGCACAGAUUCCUAGGGGAGGAAGGAGGGGGGAACAAUGGACAAUGGGUGAGAGCCUGAGCCAGCAAGGCCGCGUGAGUGAGGAAGGCCUGAGGGUUGUAAAGCUCUUUGAAACGGGAUGAUAAUGACAGUACCGGGCGAAUAAGCGCCGGCUAACUCCGUG